RNAcentral lists this ribosomal RNA (505 nucleotides) under uncultured Glomeromycotina. RNAcentral's name for it is "partial small subunit ribosomal RNA". It matches the Rfam family "Eukaryotic small subunit ribosomal RNA", at positions 591 to 1091 of the family's 1831-position model. The record is from RNAcentral. Lineage: Eukaryota; Fungi; Glomeromycota.
CCAAUAGCGUAUAUUAAAGUUGUUGCAGUUAAAAAGCUCGUAGUUGAAUUUCGGGAUUGACACAUCGGUCGUGCCUUAAGGGGUAUGAACUGGUGUAGUCAAUUUCUCACCUUCUGGAGAACCGCGAUGCCCUUAAUUGGGUGUCGCGGGGAACCAGGACCUUUACUUUGAAAAACUUAGAGUGUUUAAAGCAGGCAUUUUGCUUGAAUACAUUAGCAUGGAAUAAUAAAAUAGGACGGCAUGAUUCUAUUUUGUUGGUUUCUAGGAUCACCGUAAUGAUUAAUAGGGAUAGUUGGGGGCAUUAGUAUUCAAUUGUCAGAGGUGAAAUUCUUGGAUUUAUUGAAGACUAACCACUGCGAAAGCAUUUGCCAAGGAUGUUUUCAUUAAUCAAGAACGAAAGUUAGGGGAUCGAAGACGAUCAGAUACCGUCGUAGUCUUAACCAUAAACUAUGCCGACUAGGAAUCAGACGAUGUUAAUUUUUUAAUGACUCGUUUGGCACCUUAC